RNAcentral lists this ribosomal RNA (253 nucleotides) under uncultured bacterium. Its description in RNAcentral is "partial 16S ribosomal RNA". It matches the Rfam family "Bacterial small subunit ribosomal RNA", at positions 524 to 776 of the family's 1533-position model. The record is from RNAcentral.
UACGUAGGGUGCAAGCGUUAAUCGGAAUUACUGGACGUAAAGCGUGCGCAGGCGGUGAUGUAAGACAGAUGUGAAAUCCCCGGGCUCAACCUGGGACCUGCAUUUGUGACUGCAUCGCUAGAGUACGGUAGAGGGGGAUGGAAUUCCGCGUGUAGCAGUGAAAUGCGUAGAUAUGCGGAGGAACACCGAUGGCGAAGGCAAUCCCCUGGACCUGUACUGACGCUCAUGCACGAAAGCGUGGGGAGCAAACAGG